GGCGCACGGGGUGCGUAACACGUGGGUAAUCUGCCCUGAAGCUCGGGAUAACUCGCCGAAAGGCGUGCUAAUACCGGAUAAGACCACGGGAGCCUCGGCUCCUGCGGGAAAAGGUGGCCUCUGCAUGCAAGCUAUCACUUCAGGAUGAGCCCGCGGCCCAUCAGCUCGUUGGCGGGGUAACGGCCCACCAAGGCUACGACGGGUAGCUGGUCUGAGAGGACGAUCAGCCACACUGGAACUGAGAUACGGUCCAGACUCCUACGGGAGGCAACAGUGGGGAAUCUUGCGCAAUGGGCGAAAGCCUGACGCAGCAACGCCGCGUGUGUGAUGAAGGUCUUCGGAUCGUAAAGCACUGUCGGGAGGGACGAAUAAGGGCCGGGUGAACAAUCCGGUUCGAUGACGGUACCUCCAAAGGAAGCACCGGCUAACUCUGUGCCAGCAGCCGCGGUAAUACAGAGGGUGCAAGCGUUGUUCGGAAUUAUUGGGCGUAAAGCGCGUGUAGGCGGUCUCGCAAGUCGGAUGUGAAAGCCCUCGGCUUAACCGA
Molecule: ribosomal RNA, 544 nt
Filed under: uncultured Archangiaceae bacterium
Lineage: Bacteria; Pseudomonadati; Myxococcota; Myxococcia; Myxococcales; Archangiaceae
Description: bacterial SSU rRNA
Rfam family: Bacterial small subunit ribosomal RNA
Source: RNAcentral